Molecule: ribosomal RNA, 774 nt
Filed under: uncultured Neocallimastigales
Lineage: Eukaryota; Fungi; Neocallimastigomycota; Neocallimastigomycetes; Neocallimastigales
Description: partial large subunit ribosomal RNA
Rfam family: Eukaryotic large subunit ribosomal RNA
Source: RNAcentral
UACUAGAGUAGCACUCGCAUAUCAAUAAGCGGAGGAAAAGAAACUAACAAGGAUUCCCCUAGUAACGGCGAGUGAAGCGGGAAGAGCUCAAAUUUGAAAUCUUAAAGGGUUUCCCUUUACGAAUUGUAGUUUAAAGAAGUGUUUUCUGUUGAGGUUUUGGUAAAAGUUCUUUGGAAUAGGACAUCAUAGAGGGUGAGAAUCCCGUAUUUGACCUUUACUUUCAACUUUGUGAUACACUUUCAAAGAGUCGGAUUGUUUGGGAAUGCAGUCCAAAAUGGGUGGUAAAUUUCAUCUAAAGCUAAAUAUUGGCGAGAGACCGAUAGCGAACAAGUACCGUGAGGGAAAGAUGAAAAGAACUUGAAAAGAGAGUUAAACAGUACGUGAAAUUGUCAAAAGGGAAGCGUUUGACACCAGUGUUGUUUUUCUGAAAAUCAAUUAAAGAACUGUUUAUGCUAAGCUGUUUAGACUUUAUCAGCUAAUCUGUUUAGUUUUGAGCUUUUCUUUAAUGCACUUUUCAGUUAACAAGUCAACAUCAAUUUCUUUUGCUGUAAAAAAGCUUGAGGAAGGUGGCUUGAGAUUCGUCUUAAGUGUUUAUAGCCUCUUGCCUAUGCAGUCGGAGAGAUUGAGGUCUGCAGCGUAGAUCCUUCGGGGCUAAAUGCAUUUGUGCUAAGUUAUAACAUUUUAUAGACAACUUGUUGACUAUGAUUUGUCUUGUAGCUUACUCGCUUAUGUUAUUUUACCUACGCUUAGGAUGUUGAGUAGCGACAUACGCAC